GGAUUAGAUACCCUGGUAGUCCACGCCGUAAACGAUGGAUACUAGCUGUAUGUCUACUUCAGGUAGAUGUGUGGCUAAGCGAAAGUGAUAAGUAUCCCACCUGGGGAGUACGAUCGCAAGAUUGAAACUCAAAGGAAUUGACGGGGGCCCGCACAAGCGGUGGAGCAUGUGGUUUAAUUCGAUAAUACGCGAGGAACCUUACCUAGGCUAGAAUGCGAGUGACAUCCAGAGAGAUCUGGAGUUCUUCGGACACAAAGCAAGGUGCUGCAUGGUUGUCGUCAGCUCGUGCCG
RNAcentral lists this ribosomal RNA (291 nucleotides) under uncultured bacterium. RNAcentral describes it as "partial 16S ribosomal RNA". It matches the Rfam family "Bacterial small subunit ribosomal RNA", at positions 775 to 1067 of the family's 1533-position model. The record is from RNAcentral.